CGUACACUCCUGCGGGAGGCAGCAGUGGGGAAUAUUGGACAAUGGGCGCAAGCCUGAUCCAGCCAUGCCGCGUGAGUGAUGAAGGCCCUAGGGUUGUAAAGCUCUUUCACCGGUGAAGAUAAUGACGGUAACCGGAGAAGAAGCCCCGGCUAACUUCGUGCCAGCAGCCGCGGUAAUACGAAGGGGGCUAGCGUUGUUCGGAUUUACUGGGCGUAAAGCGCACGUAGGCGGACUAUUAAGUCAGGGGUGAAAUCCCGGGGCUCAACCCCGGAACUGCCUUUGAUACUGGUAGUCUUGAGUUCGAGAGAGGUGAGUGGAAUUCCGAGUGUAGAGGUGAAAUUCGCAGAUAUUCGGAGGAACACCAGUGGCGAAGGCGGCUCACUGGCUCGAUACUGACGCUGAGGUGCGAAAGCGUGGGGAGCAAACAGGAUUAGAAACCCUUGUAGUCCCA
RNAcentral lists this ribosomal RNA (451 nucleotides) under uncultured organism. RNAcentral describes it as "partial 16S ribosomal RNA". It matches the Rfam family "Bacterial small subunit ribosomal RNA", at positions 330 to 797 of the family's 1533-position model. The record is from RNAcentral.